Molecule: unclassified non-coding RNA, 229 nt
Filed under: plant metagenome
Description: partial contains small subunit ribosomal RNA, internal transcribed spacer 1, and 5.8S ribosomal RNA
Source: RNAcentral
UCUCCGUAGGUGAACCUGCGGAGGGAUCAUUACAGAGUUCUCGCCCUCGCGGGUAGAUCUCCCACCCACUGUUAUCGUUACUGUGUUGCUUUGGCGGGCCGCCGGGCCCCGCUCGGCCGCCGGCUCCGGCUGGCGCGCACCCGCCAGAGGCCCAGCAAACUCUGAAUGUUAGUGUCGUCUGAGUACUAUAUAAUAGUUAAAACUUUCAACAACGGAUCUCUUGGUUCUG